This is a non-coding RNA of Stegodyphus mimosarum, 73 nucleotides long. The record is from Rfam. Lineage: Eukaryota; Metazoa; Arthropoda; Arachnida; Araneae; Eresidae.
GCUUUCGUGGUGUAGUGGUGAGCACGCUGGAAGCGUAUUCUAGAGGUCCGUGGUUCGAGUCCCGACGAAGGCG